GUGCCAGCCGCCGCGGUAAUACCGGCAGCCCAAGUGAUGGCCGGUCUUAUUGGGCCCAAAGCGUCCGUAGCUGGCCACGCAAGUCCAUCGGGAAAUCCACCUGCCCAACAGGUGGGCGCCCGGUAGAAACUGCGUGGCUUGGGACCGGAAGGCGCGACGGGUACGUCCGGGGUAGGAGUGAAAUCCCGUAAUCCUGGACGGACCGCCGAUGGCGAAAGCACGUCGCGAGAACGGAUCCGACAGUGAGGGACGAAAGCCAGGGUCUCGAACCGGAUUAGAAACCCGCGUAGUCC
RNAcentral lists this ribosomal RNA (293 nucleotides) under uncultured prokaryote. RNAcentral's name for it is "partial 16S ribosomal RNA". It matches the Rfam family "Archaeal small subunit ribosomal RNA", at positions 455 to 747 of the family's 1478-position model. The record is from RNAcentral.